Long non-coding RNA from Clupea harengus (Atlantic herring), 695 nucleotides. The record is from Ensembl. NCBI's taxonomy places the organism in Eukaryota, Metazoa, Chordata, Actinopteri, Clupeiformes, Clupeidae.
CAGACAGACAGGCAGUAGAUGCAGCACAGACAGACAGAUGCAGCACAAACAGACAAACAGACAGAGAGACAGUAGAUGCAGCACAGACAGACAGACAGUAGAUGCAGCACAGACAGACAGACAGACAGUAGAUGCAGCACAGACAGACAGACUGUAGAUGCAGCACAGACAGACAGACAGACAGACAGUAGAUGCAGCACAGACAGACAGACAGACAAUGCAGCACAGACAGACAGACAGACAGUAGAUGCAGCACAGACAGACAGACAGACAGACAGUAGAUGCAGCACAGACAGACAGACAGUAGAUGCAGCACAGACAGACAGACAGACUAUGCAGCACAGACAGACAGACAGACAGACAGAUGCAGCACAGACAGACAGAUGCAGCACAGACAGACAGACAGUAGAUGCAGCACAGACAGACAGUAGAUGCAGCACAGACAGACAGACAGACAGACAGACUAUGCAGCACAGACAGACAGACAGUAGAAGGACUACACAAGACAGUGGGGAUGCAACGUGUCUGAGUGAAGUUGAAUUGUGGAUGCACAGACUGUUCUGAUGUCUCAAGUGUGUGUGUGUGUGUGUGAAAAUGAGUGUGUGUGUGUGUGUGUGUGUGUGUGUGUGUGUGUGAAAAUGAGUGUGUGUGUGUGUGUGUGAAAAUGUGUGUGUGUGUGUGUGUGUGUGUGUGUG